RNAcentral lists this ribosomal RNA (396 nucleotides) under uncultured bacterium. Its description in RNAcentral is "partial 16S ribosomal RNA". It matches the Rfam family "Bacterial small subunit ribosomal RNA", at positions 523 to 918 of the family's 1533-position model. The record is from RNAcentral.
AUACGUAGGGAGCGAGCGUUGUCCGGAAUUACUGGGUGUAAAGGGAGCGUAGGCGGGAGUGCAAGUCAGAUGUGAAAUACAUGGGCUCAACCCAUGGGCUGCAUUUGAAACUGCAUUUCUUGAGGGAAGUAGAGGUAAGCGGAAUUCCUGGUGUAGCGGUGAAAUGCGUAGAUAUCAGGAGGAACACCGGUGGCGAAGGCGGCUUACUGGGCUUUUACUGACGCUGAGGCUCGAAAGCGUGGGGAGCAAACAGGAUUAGAUACCCUGGUAGUCCACGCUGUAAACGAUGAUUACUGGGUGUGGGGGGACUGACCCCUUCCGUGCCGCAGUUAACACAAUAAGUAAUCCACCUGGGGAGUACGGCCGCAAGGUUGAAACUCAAAUGAAUUGACGGGG